UUUCUUAUUCUGUUACUUCAACUUCAUUCGUUUUAUUGCCGGGCAGAAUCUCCUUUGUUAUCUCUGUUCGUUCUGUUAUCAGAGGUCCAUCGCCAUUUUCUGUAACAUUCUUAGUCUCGAGAGAAGUAUCCUUAAUGGUUUCCUGUGAAGGUAGUUUUUCUUUUUCUGUUACUUCAACUUCAUUCGUUUUAUUGCCGGGCAGAAUCUCCUUUGUUAUCUCUGUUCGUUCUGUUAUCAGAGGUCCAUCGCCAUUUUCUGUAACAUUCUUAGUCUCGAGAGAAGUAUCCUUAAUGGUUUCCUGUGAAGGUAGUUUUUCUUCUUUUUCUGUUACUUCAACUUCAUUCGUUUUAUUGCCGGGCAGAAUCUCCUUUGUUAUCUCUGUUCGUUCUGUUAUCAGAGGUCCAUCGACAUUUUCUGUAACAUUCUUAGUCUCGAGAGAAGUAUCCUUAAUGGUUUCCUGUGAAGGUAGUUUUUCUUCUUUUUCUGUUAUUACAACUUCAUUCGUUUUAUUGCCGGGCAGAAUCUCCUUUGUUAUCUCUGUUCGUUCUACUUUAUGAGGUCCAUCGCUCUUUUCUGUAGCGUUCCUCCCCUCCACAAAUGUCAUCGUAAUGCUUUUCUGUGAAGGUAGUUUUUCUUCUUUCUCUGUUACUAAAGUUUCAUUCGUUUUAUUGCCGGGCAGAAUCUCCUUUGUUAUCUCUGUUCGUUCU
Molecule: long non-coding RNA, 707 nt
Organism: Eriocheir sinensis (Chinese mitten crab)
Lineage: Eukaryota; Metazoa; Arthropoda; Malacostraca; Decapoda; Varunidae
Exons: 3
Source: RefSeq, a predicted model, not a curated record